RNAcentral lists this ribosomal RNA (467 nucleotides) under uncultured bacterium. Its description in RNAcentral is "partial 16S ribosomal RNA". It matches the Rfam family "Bacterial small subunit ribosomal RNA", at positions 28 to 507 of the family's 1533-position model. The record is from RNAcentral.
GAUGAACGCUGACAGAAUGCUUAACACAUGCAAGUCAACUUGAAUUUGGGUUUUUAACUUAGGUUUGGGUGGCGGACGGGUGAGUAACGCGUAAAGAACUUGCCUCACAGCUAGGGACAACAUUUGGAAACGAAUGCUAAUACCUAAUAUUAUGAUAAUAGGGCAUCCUAUAAUUAUGAAAGCUAUAAGCGCUGUGAGAGAGCUUUGCGUCCCAUUAGCUAGUUGGAGAGGUAACGGCUCACCAAGGCGAUGAUGGGUAGCCGGCCUGAGAGGGUGAUCGGCCACAAGGGGACUUAGACACGGCCCUUACUCCUACGGGAGGCAGCAGUUGGGAAUAUUGGACAAUGGACCGAGAGUCUGAUCCAGCAAUUCUGUGUGCACGAUGAAGUUUUUCGGAAUGUAAAGUGCUUUCAGUUGGGAAGAAACAAAUGACGGUACCAACAGAAGAAGUGACGGCUAAAUACGUG